GCAGCGACGCAGCGUGCGGGAUGACGGCCUUCGGGUUGUAAACCGCUUUCAGCAGGGAAGAAGCGCAAGUGACGGUACCUGCAGAAGAAGUACCGGCUAACUACGUGCCAGCAGCCGCGGUAAUACGUAGGGUACGAGCGUUGUCCGGAAUUAUUGGGCGUAAAGAGCUCGUAGGUGGUUGGUCACGUCUGCUGUGGAAACGCAACGCUUAACGUUGCGCGUGCAGUGGGUACGGGCUGACUAGAGUGCAGUAGGGGAGUCUGGAAUUCCUGGUGUAGCGGUGAAAUGCGCAGAUAUCAGGAGGAACACCGGUGGCGAAGGCGGGACUCUGGGCUGUAACUGACACUGAGGAGCGAAAGCAUGGGGAGCGAACAGGAUUAGAUACCCUGGUAGUCCAUGCCGUAAACGUUGGGCACUAGGUGUGGGGGGCAUUCCACGUUCUCCGCGCCGUAGCUAACGCAUUAAGUGCCCCGCCUGGG
Molecule: ribosomal RNA, 479 nt
Filed under: Brevibacterium sp. CMT514
Lineage: Bacteria; Bacillati; Actinomycetota; Actinomycetes; Micrococcales; Brevibacteriaceae
Description: bacterial SSU rRNA
Rfam family: Bacterial small subunit ribosomal RNA
Source: RNAcentral